GGGCCUUUAGCUCAGUUGGUAGAGCGCUUCGUUUACACCGAAGAUGCCGGGGGUUCGAGUCCCUCAAGGCCCACCC
RNAcentral lists this transfer RNA (76 nucleotides) under Leifsonia xyli. RNAcentral describes it as "tRNA-Val". It matches the Rfam family "tRNA". Rfam says of the family: Transfer RNA (tRNA) molecules are approximately 80 nucleotides in length. Their secondary structure includes four short double-helical elements and three loops (D, anti-codon, and T loops). The record is from RNAcentral. Lineage: Bacteria; Bacillati; Actinomycetota; Actinomycetes; Micrococcales; Microbacteriaceae.